AAUGAAAUGCCUGAAUAAAGGGUUAUUUUGAUAGAAUAAAACAUGUAAUUUUAUUACUUUCAUUA
Molecule: transfer RNA, 65 nt
Filed under: Rhagonycha bimucronata
Lineage: Eukaryota; Metazoa; Arthropoda; Insecta; Coleoptera; Cantharidae
Description: tRNA-Ile
Source: RNAcentral